GACGAACGCUGGCGGCGUGCUUAACACAUGCAAGUCGAACGGAAAGGCCCUGCUUUUGUGGGGUGCUCGAGUGGCGAACGGGUGAGUAACACGUGAGUAACCUGCCCUUGACUUUGGGAUAACUUCAGGAAACUGGGGCUAAUACCGGAUAGGAGCUCCUGCUGCAUGGUGGGGGUUGGAAAGUGUCGGCGGUUGGGGAUGGACUCGCGGCUUAUCAGCUUGUUGGUGGGGUAGUGGCUUACCAAGGCUUUGACGGGUAGCCGGCCUGAGAGGGUGACCGGCCACAUGGGGACAGAGAUACGGCCCAGACUCCUACGGGAGGCAGCAGUGGGGAAUAUUGCACAAUGGGCGGAAGCAUGAUGCAGCAACGCCGCGUGCGGGAAGACGGCCUUCGGGUGGGAAACAGCUUUCGCCUGUGACGAAGCGUGAGUGACGGUAAUGGGUAAAGAAGCACCGGCUACCUACGU
RNAcentral lists this ribosomal RNA (467 nucleotides) under uncultured bacterium. RNAcentral's name for it is "partial 16S ribosomal RNA". It matches the Rfam family "Bacterial small subunit ribosomal RNA", at positions 28 to 506 of the family's 1533-position model. The record is from RNAcentral.